GUGAGCAGACCCUGUCAUGCCCCCAGGCCAGGCGCUGCCCAGAGCUGCCACCUUACAGCGCUGUAGUCUCCAGUGGGUCGCUAAUCUCUGUGCCAUCACCAUCUCCAGCCCUGGCUCUUGGCCUCAGGUUAGGGCUUGGUCAAGGCCAUGUGAGCCUGAUCUCUUUUCUCUCUCCCCCAAAGAAAUGAAGGGGCCAGAGGUUCAACAAUGGCAUCCAAGCUCACACGUGUGCCGGAUCCUGUUGGAGACACUGGAGGCUGGACCCAAGAAAGCAGUGGGCCCCUACCCUAUGGAGCUGAGAGACAGACAGUGGGCAAGUCACAGAGGGAGAGAACCAGGUUGGAGAGGCGGCAUGAUACGCCCCAGGCUACACAGCUGCAAGAGGCAGAGUGGCUUGCACAGCAGCUCCUGCCUCCUCCCAGGCUGCCCGCACAUGCCUGCUGCCAGUCCUGGGCAUGCCCAUCCUUUCCCACCCACUGUAGGAGCCUGUGACCUGGCCUCAUGGCCAGUGGGGGCUGCGUGUCUGGCAGGUGUUUCCAGGAAUCACAACUCCUGCAAUAUCAUGCACAGAGGGAGGCGGCGUGCAGUGGCAUGAGCUCUGCAUUCCAGGACAGAGGAAGGAGGGCUGGAAUGGUGACGAGGAGCUGUGCCAUCUGAGCAUGCCGAAGACAGGAGGGCGGAGGAUCAGAGCACCCAGAGGUUUGCCGAGGUCACCAGUCGGGGUCCUGUGGGAGCAGGGGACACAGGUGGGUCAAGGAUGAUAACAGGCUGGUGAUAUGCA
Non-coding RNA from Ictidomys tridecemlineatus (thirteen-lined ground squirrel), 781 nucleotides. Lineage: Eukaryota; Metazoa; Chordata; Mammalia; Rodentia; Sciuridae. The record is from RefSeq and is a predicted model, not a curated record.